Molecule: ribosomal RNA, 259 nt
Filed under: uncultured bacterium
Lineage: Bacteria
Description: partial 16S ribosomal RNA
Rfam family: Bacterial small subunit ribosomal RNA
Source: RNAcentral
GUCCACGCCCUAACGAUGGAUACUCGACAUACGCGAUACACUGUGUGUGUCUGAGCGAAAGCAUUAAGUAUCCCACCUGGGAAGUACGAUCGCAAGAUUGAAACUCAAAGGAAUUGGCGGGGUCCGCACAAGCGGUGGAGCAUGUGGUUUAAUUCGAUGAUACGCGAGGAACCUUACCUGGGCUAGAAUGCUGGGAGACCGUGGGUGAAAGCUCACUUUGUAGCAAUACACUGCCAGUAAGGUGCUGCAUGGCUGUCGU